UCCCACCCUUUGUUUUUUUUUAAAACAAGUCCAUUUUUUUUUGGUAAAAAAAGGAUUUUUUGGAGGAAAAGCGCCCCCAAUAAAACACCGGAACAAAGCAAGCCCCAGCGCCCCGUCCCGGCGCCGCCGGCCGGUACUGCAUCUUUACCGUUGCCUUGUCUCGGCUCGCCGUUCACGCAUCCUUGUAUUUAUGUUGUUCGCAGCCUAACGCUAGCGGCCAGGGCAAAGUCACGGGCUCAUUUUUGCUGCCGCCGCCCCCACCUGUGGCCAGACCUGUGCCCCUUCCAAUGCCUGACACAAAAUCCACCAGCACUAACCCAGAGGGCGGAGCGCCGACACCUACAUCACCCUCAUUCGCAGCGCCAGGCUCCUCCACUGCCAACCGGUUUGUCGGCAUCGGACCCCGGGACGGCAACUUUCUAAACAUCCCCCAGCAGUCUCAGUCUUGGUUCCUCUGAUGGGAUCUUCAAGAAAGAGACGAGAAAUCUCUCCCUAAAGCCCCCCAUGGAAGCGUCCGUCCUUCGCCUGGAUCUUCACUGAGCUGCUCCUGUCGAGACCCAGAGGGGGUGCCCAGCUCCCACUACCGAUGAGAAAAGUCCAACCCCCCAGUCCCAGCCCCGAUCCGGAGCCAAUUUGAAUCGACGUGGACGAGGUUGGUCCUGUCCGAUGCGGACUUCCCGCGCCGCCCUUGGGAAGUAACAUCUCAAACAGCAAAGCGCAGCACCCCCGCCGCGAUCGCCGCAGGUCAGCCGCUCCGGAGCCGAGCAUCUCCCUGUUCCUGGGGCGGGGAGAUCGACAGCCCCGGACGCACCCGGGUCGAAAUCUCCCGAAACCCCCCAGAGCGCUGACGUGUGCCAGGAAAGAGGGGGAAGUGCUGGGAGCUUUCCAGAGCUGCAAGUGACUUAGGAUGGCAGGUUGAGGCAACGGCCAACAGCCCAGGGCGUCCAGCCUGCAGCCACGGGGUGUGUUGCACCUCGCUUAGGCCGACCCGAGCUAGCAUUCAGGUGCCGGGAAGCCACAGCCGCGUGGGCGAGCCCCGGGUAAUUACUCGGCUGUGGCAUCCUGCUCUGGCCCCCGAGCUCGCUCGGCUGAAGCCAUGAGCGGGGAUCUCCCUGCUGGCACUGGUUCGGCUCGUGGGGUGAACAGAGCGAGAACCGAACCAGCUGGCCUGUCCCACAAACAGAUUUGCAAAUUCAAAAAUUUUUCCUGUCUCAAAUUGGGGUGAAAAAUGGAAAUCUCAAAAAUAUUUGCCAGCCGGAAACCUGACGAGUUUUUUGUUGUGGGUCAUUUGAAAUAUUUCAUUUUUUCCAUUUGGGCCUUUUUUUCCUGGGGUUUUAACCUUUUUUUUUUUUUCCAGUCAAAUUAGCUUAAUGUCGGGUCGAACUAGAAAACUGGAAUUUUCCCUUUUUUGCAAGUUUGUUCCCGAUCAGGAGACGCAGCCGACACGCCCGUUCCAGGAACGGUGCCAUUUCGGCAAAGCUGCGAUUUCCAAGGAAAAAAUGAUUUGUCACAGCCUCCCGGCCAGCGCAGGGCAAUGGAAAAUCGGUCUUCAAUGGCGUGUGACCUGCCCUGUCGCAGUUUCACUUGCCUCGUCUGCAUGAGAAGGCAACACUGGUUUAACUUCACCUGCUUUAAAUCCACAACUCAAGGGGUGAAUUUAAACCGGUUUCAAGGGCCUGCUGUGAACCGGACCCAUAGAAGUGGUUUGACAUUGAUGUAAGUGCGUCCACACAGGUGCUGGCACCAGUUUCAUCAAACCGGUUUAACUGAAGUCAGGCCAGUUUUGCAGGGAACAAACUUUGUGCAUCCAAGUCACGUAGGCGCUCUGGAAAUCCUCCCUCUCUGGCCGGCAAUGAGCCACCUUCCCAGUUCAAUUCCGGACGCUCGGGCCGGGAGAGGCCGCUGCCCAAGGAGCCCCAGGAUUGGGUCCCCUCCGUCUUCAUCCUGGGGCAGCCGGAUCCUCCAGGGCGCCCGGGAAGAUUCAGCCCCGGCGGGGUGUUUGCUGGCAGCCCUGGAGAAAUGCAGCCGGGAAGGCUACGAAACUUCCUCCUGGCCACCCUGCCCUGCCCCUGCCUCGGCCCUCGGGCUCUCCACAGCCCUCCCCCCGCCCAGGGGCCUUCUGGGUGCCGGGGGGGCUCAGGACCUUAGCCCAGCAUCGCCUGCAGGGACUGGAGCCGAGCUGUGCCGCUGAGGAUGCUGGGAAUUUACCCAGGAUGCUUGGCGGCCGAGGGACUCAGGUUGCUCCGUUGUCCCCCCUCGUUCCCGCCGUACUGGGAGUCAUGAGGAAGGCUAAGCAGAGACGAUCCCGGCCGCAGGGGCAGGGGGGGCUGCGCGCUCCCUUCCCGGCCCCCCUGUGUCAGCCUCUCGCUCGAGAGCUCCCCCGGGCGGAUGAAGUGGGAUUCUGCCCGGGGGGGACACAGUUAGAUUAUUUUAGUCUCCUUCCCAGUGGCUCCCAGCAUGGUCCCCCUCCCCCCCCCCCACAAUGGGGCUCUCUCCAGCCCUGAAAAUGCAGCGCUGGGGGGGUCCCUUUGCAAACAACCCCCCCUUUCCCCCCCCAGGAAAUCAGCUUCAGCUAAGGGCGCCUGCCAAUGCUGCCAACCCCCGGGCAUGGCUGCCCUCCUCCCUUUCCGAAUCCUCCCUCCCCAGGGAAAGCACUGGGGGAGCCGCGGCAGCUGGUUUGGGCCGGGGGGGGGGGGGGGGCUGUGAGGUCUAGCUCAGCUGCCGGCUGUUUUCUUUCCCCUUCUCCCCACCGCGAUCUGUUCUCGCUUCCUUCCUUCGGAUUUGCUGCUUGGUGGUUGGUUUUUUCGUUUUAAAUAGUUGGAUCCUUUCUCUUUUCUCCUCCUUCCUUUCUUCCUUCGUCGUAGCUUGGUGGUUAUUUUAGGGGUUGGGGCUUUCUGUACAUACAGGCGAUCAAAGGAACUAGGGCCAGAGUAACAAAGACGCCACGCCCCAGCCAGCGCUCGCUCGAGGGAAAGCCCUGGCAGGACUCUGUAGGCCUAGCGCUGAGGAGAUGCGGGGACGGUUUGCUGCAGGGACAUGGGAAAGGUUCCGUUUUCCUGCUGGUCCAGAGUGCACACAGAGCAGUCACAGUCACCCAGCCCGCCACACGCUGUCCGUUCCGCUUCCGAAAAUCAAAUUAAAAACUCUCUCUCUCCAUCUCACACCCACCUUUGAAUCAGCAGCAGCGGCGUCUUUCUAUUUUUGAGAGACACAGGGUCCCAUCUCUCCACCCUGUUAUCAGGCGCAGGGCCUGCGAUGCUGAAAUGCAGCCACCUCUGGGGUGGGGCGGGGCGGCUGUUAGUAACAGCAGCGCCGCAGGGUAGUUUUAGGACCGGAAGUGGGGAUGGGAGAAUCCUGUAUCUGGAUGAAACCCCCAGGAAGGGGGUGGGAAAUAGGGAGGCAGAUUGGGGUCGCCUGAGCUGGAGUAUGGCCCGGAUGCCAGGGUUCAUAUCUUGAUUCUUGCAACAAC
Molecule: long non-coding RNA, 3469 nt
Organism: Trachemys scripta elegans
Lineage: Eukaryota; Metazoa; Chordata; Testudines; Emydidae
Exons: 3
Source: RefSeq, a predicted model, not a curated record